This 882-nucleotide ribosomal RNA is filed under the name Strongyluris sp. 122_Pa232_Okinawa_KUZR69802. RNAcentral's name for it is "SSU rRNA". It matches the Rfam family "Eukaryotic small subunit ribosomal RNA", at positions 111 to 1002 of the family's 1831-position model. Lineage: Eukaryota; Metazoa; Nematoda; Chromadorea; Rhabditida; Heterakidae. The record is from RNAcentral.
UAUAAUAUACUUGAUCUUGACUAUCCUACUUGGAUAACUGUGGUAAUUCUAGAGCUAAUACAUGCACCAAAGCUCCGAUUUGACGAGCGCAUCUAUUAGAUUAAAACCAAUCAGGUUUCGGCCUGUUUUUUGGUGACUCUGAAUAGCUUAGCUGAUCGCAUGGUCUUGCACCGGCGACGUGUCUAUCAAGUGUCUGCCUUAUCAACUUUCGAUGGUAGUUUAAAUGCCUACCAUGGUUGUAACGGGUAACGGAGAAUAAGGGUUCGACUCCGGAGAGGGAGCCUUAGAAACGGCUACCACAUCCAAGGAAGGCAGCAGGCGCGCAAAUUACCCACUCUCAGCAUGAGGAGGUAGUGACGAAAAAUAACAAAACCGUUCUCUAUGAGGCCGGUUAUUGGAAUGAGUACAAUUUAAAUCCGUUAACGAGGAUCUAUGAGAGGGCAAGUCUGGUGCCAGCAGCCGCGGUAAUUCCAGCUCUCAAAGUGUAUAUCGUCAUUGCUGCGGUUAAAAAGCUCGUAUUUUGAUCUGCGCUACAGGAUUCGGUCCGUCCAUUGGGCGAGAACUGAACCCCUGAGCUAGUACUGUUGGUUUUCCCUACGUUGCCUUCAUCGGUCGCGUAGGGUGGCUAGCGAGUUUACUUUGAAAAAAUUAGAGUGCUUAACGCGGGCUAUUGCCUGAAUAUUCGUGCAUGGAAUAAUAGAAUAGGAUCUCGGUUCUAUUUUGUUGGUUUUCUGAUCUGAGAUAAUGGUUAAGAGGGACGGACGGGGGCAUUCGUAUCGCUGCGUGAGAGGUGAAAUUCUUGGACCGUAGCGAGACGUCCGACUGCGAAAGCAUUUGCCAAGAAUGUCUUCAUUAAUCAAGAACGAAAGUCAGAGGUUCGAA